RNAcentral lists this unclassified non-coding RNA (1871 nucleotides) under Manduca sexta (tobacco hornworm). Its description in RNAcentral is "serine/threonine-protein kinase NLK, transcript variant X2". The record is from RNAcentral. Lineage: Eukaryota; Metazoa; Arthropoda; Insecta; Lepidoptera; Sphingidae.
GUUAUUUGUCGUCUCGUUCUGGCAUCGCGUCCUCCGGGCUUCCCUCCCCCGUCCCGCUCCUUUGCCAGUUUCGCUCGAUUUCCGUGGUGUGCGGACGGAUCGUUGUUCGUGCCGCGAUAAUAAAUUUCACGGUCUCAUCCUUUGUCCAGGAAGAAGCAGAGGCCGAAGAAACAACCAAGUAUAACUUUAACAAUAAAUAACUUUUAGCAAUUUGGUGGCAUAGCUGGUGAAUUUGACGCGUGUAUCCCGACGUUCUGUGUGUUUUGAAGUGAUUCCCGCAGUCGUCCGAGCAUGAAUAAUAUAGAAGUAACCGGUGAUAUUGUCGUGUGUCCACCGGGAGGAGAGGUGUGGUGACCGGGCGAGCUGUCGAGGCCGUGGUGUUCACCGUGUGAUGAGUCUGCGGUGACAGCUCGCCGCUGAGCGGUUGGAUGGCGGCAGUAAGCGGCCCCGCGCGGCACUCUCGCGUUUCCAUGAGUGUGUCCAUGUCGCUGAUGCAGGGCGGUACGCAGAGCGCGCCGCAGGGCGCCAUCCUGGCGGCAGCGGCGCCCUACUACCAGACGCCGGCCAUCCCCACUGACGUGCAGCCAGACCGGCCCAUCGGAUACGGUGCCUUCGGUGUUGUGUGGGCUGUGACGGACCCGCGCGAUGGCCGGCGUGUGGCUCUCAAGAAACUGCCCAACGUGUUUCAGUCACUCGUCUCCUCUAAGCGCGUCUUCCGCGAGCUCAAGAUGCUCUGCUUCUUCAAACACGAGAACGUACUAUCGGCGUUAGACAUCCUGCAGCCGCCUAGCCUCGACUUCUUCCAGGAAAUUUACGUGAUAACUGAGCUGCUACAGAGCGACCUGCACAAGAUCAUCGUGUCGCCGCAACAUCUCUCCGCAGACCACAUCAAAGUCUUCCUCUACCAAAUAUUAAGAGGUCUGAAAUACCUACACUCGGCACGCAUCCUUCACCGCGACAUCAAGCCUGGCAACCUGUUGGUGAACAGCAACUGCGUGCUGAAGAUAUGCGACUUCGGACUGGCGCGAGUCGAGGAGCCCGACUCAAGCAAGAACAUGACGCAGGAGGUCGUUACGCAGUACUAUAGAGCGCCGGAGAUCCUGAUGGGGGCGAACCACUACACGGCCGCGGUGGACGUGUGGUCCGUGGGCUGCAUAUUCGGCGAGCUGCUCGGCAGGCGGAUCCUGUUCCAGGCUCAGAGUCCAGUACAACAGCUGGAGCUGAUCACGGAGCUGCUGGGCACGCCGUCGCUGGAGGACAUGCGGCACGCGUGCGCCGGCGCGCGCGCACACAUGCUGCGCCGCGCGCCGCGCCCGCCCGCGCUCGCCGCGCUCUACACGCUCUCCGUGCAGGCCACGCACGAGGCCGUGCAUCUGCUCGCACAGAUGCUAGUGUUCGACCCGGCGAAGCGCAUCUCCGUGGUGGAUGCGCUUGCGCACCCGUACCUGGAGGAGGGGCGGCUGCGCUACCACUCGUGCAUGUGCAAGUGUUGCUACAGCGCGCCGCCGGCCGCGCGGCACUACUCGCCCGACCUAGAGCCCGUCGCGCCGCAUCCCUUCCACGACGGGUGGGAGCGCAAGCUCACCUCCGUGCACCAAGUUAAAGAGGAGAUCCACAAGUUCAUAGCGGAGCAGCUGCAGACGUCGCGCGUGCCGCUGUGCAUCAACCCGCAGUCGGCGGCGUUCAAGAGCUUCGCAAGGUAAGGCGCCGCCACCAACCACCAACCGCAACCAACCGCCACCAACCGACACUAGCUCUAGAACGGGUACGAAAGCAAAAGUAUGUUCCCCUUUCAAGACGGCGGCAAAAAUACUACUACUGUCGCCAGUGAUAUUUCUGUGCGCCGCGUAGUGAGCCCCGAGCCCGUCCCA